UCUAUGUUUGCUUUCUAAAGAAGGCACAGGGAACUAUUAUCCUGUUCCUGGCAUAUUUUCUUUCCCCCGCAGUGCAAACAUAAGAGAAACAGUAAUUUUUCAUUUGAAUAAUAUGCAAAAUUCACUCUUACCAUUUAAAGAAUAAGCGAAAACCAUUCCCUACCUAUGGAAUGAUAGUUUUCUCUAGUCUCUGGCCACUGCUUUGUCAACAUCAAAUAUUUUGAAUAAUUUCAACUACAAUUUUUUGGUGACUUUUCUUCUGUAGACAGCGGUGGCAUUUCUUUUUGUAUUUUUGGGAUUUCUGACGCUUUUGAUUUUCAGGGUAAGGAUAAAACAGCUGAAGAAAGAAGGAUUCUCUUCUUCAUUUUCGAUGAUGUUGCAGAACAAUGUCGAGAAGCGGCUCUUAAAUAUUAUGAUACCUAUCUACCAUUUUUACUAGAUGCUUGCAAUGAUGAGAGCCCUGAUGUUCGACAGGUCUGCACUUGGACCAUUGAGUUUUCUUGUUGUUCUAUUUCAUAUAGCUUUCUUGGAUCAUAUACAAGCUAAUUUUUUUAUUUUCAAGCUAUUGUUUAUGGAAUUGGAGUUUGUGCAGAGUUUGGUGGAUCUGUGUUUAAACCUCUUGUAGGAGGUAUCUUUCUUUUUCCUGUGCACCUACCUUUGAGGAAUUAUGCCUUUUUAACACCGUCAACCAACACCUGCCUUUUAUUGGCCUGCAGAGGCUCUUUCCAGGCUAAAUUUUGUUACAAGAUAGCCUAAUGCACUCCAUUCUGAUAAUGUGAUGGCAUAUAACAAUGUUGUCUCAGCUCUAGGGAAAAUUUGCCAAUUCCAUCGUGAUAGUAUAGAUGCAGCUCAGGUAUUGUUGCGAAUCCGUUUUGGCUGAAGAUGGUUUGUUUGUCCUACAGGUUACAUAUUGUCUAGUAUAAUUUUUCUUAAUUAUGGUUUGAUUUGAAUUAUCUGAAAAGAAAGGUGUACCUGUAGUAGUCCAUUCAAAUGGCCCCACUUGGCCAUUUCCUCUUUAUUGAAUUAAAUUGUUACCAAUUUUGUGAAUGGGAUUCUUAUUAAACAAUCAUGUGAA
Molecule: long non-coding RNA, 1075 nt
Organism: Magnolia sinica
Lineage: Eukaryota; Viridiplantae; Streptophyta; Magnoliopsida; Magnoliales; Magnoliaceae
Exons: 3
Source: RefSeq, a predicted model, not a curated record